RNAcentral lists this long non-coding RNA (804 nucleotides) under Nicotiana benthamiana. RNAcentral's name for it is "long non-coding RNA (NBEN_LNC025682)". Lineage: Eukaryota; Viridiplantae; Streptophyta; Magnoliopsida; Solanales; Solanaceae. The record is from RNAcentral.
AGGGGCGGUUGUCUUUGUUAGGAGCAGUAAGCAUUGUGGUUAUUAAUCCACCUGUGCUUGUUCCUGCUACCACGUCAAAAUAAUCUGCAAGUCUUGCAUUUGGUCCAUCCAGUUCCUAGUUACCACACACAUGACAAGGAUAUAAGUAGAAAGUAAUGUUUAUAUGACAUUUUGUCCCUUUUAUUCUGUUUAACUAUUGAUAUUGAAAUGUCCUGACCUCUCACAAGUUUUAAUUAAAGUGUAGUUUUGGCAUUUCUUCUUAGAAAUUAGUGAACAUCUUAUAAAAUAAAACCGAUAAUAGAAGCGCCCAAGUUAGAAAAUUUAUCUUGAACUAGUUGGGGCGCACUCGAAAAACCUUUUGAGUCAAAACUUAAAUUUUGCCUUUCUUCAGUAGUAUGGAUUCGGGUUAUUAACACUCAAAUCCAUAUCAAGACUGGAUAUAUAACAGUGGUUAGACAACAGAGUAAAAUAAUAUGCCUGAAGUUUGGAUUCAAGGAAGGCAAGAACGGUGCCAGGAAUAAUGCCUCUAAUUCCACCUCCAUCAACGCUCAAAACUGUUACCAUCUUUCCUUUGGUAGCAGCAAAAGCCAUUGGAGGUUGUAAAAUUAAUAGUAACAAAGUCAUUAAUGAUGCAGCUACAAGAGCCAUUCUCCCCAUGUUGAGUUAUCUAAUAAAACUAAUACUAACAAGCUCAUUGCUGCAGCUACAAGAGCCACUCUCCCCAUGUUGAGUUAUCUAAAUAAAAGUUUACUGUGUGUAUCUAUUAAGUGAAAGAGAGAGGGAGAAUGGUGUGUGUAUAUAUAU